UACGUAGGGGGCAAGCGUUGUCCGGAUUUAUUGGGCGUAAAGAGCGUGUAGGCGGCCUGAAAGGUCAGCUGUGAAAACUCGAGGCUCAACCUCGAGACGCCGAUGGAAACCAUGUGGCUAGAGUCCGGAAGAGGAGAGUGGAAUUCCUGGUGUAGCGGUGAAAUGCGCAGAUAUCAGGAAGAACACCCGUGGCUAAGGCGGCUCUCUAGUACGGUACUGACGCUGAGACGCGAAAGCGUGGGGAGCAAACAGG
RNAcentral lists this ribosomal RNA (253 nucleotides) under uncultured bacterium. RNAcentral's name for it is "partial 16S ribosomal RNA". It matches the Rfam family "Bacterial small subunit ribosomal RNA", at positions 524 to 776 of the family's 1533-position model. The record is from RNAcentral.